RNAcentral lists this unclassified non-coding RNA (248 nucleotides) under Hevea brasiliensis (rubber tree). The record is from RNAcentral. Lineage: Eukaryota; Viridiplantae; Streptophyta; Magnoliopsida; Malpighiales; Euphorbiaceae.
GAAAGAUAUGAUUUAACUCUUUUUUGAUGGUAUGGCAUUUGAUUUUUACUCUGGUGUAUAUAUUUUGAUUAGAUCUUGUUGAUUAAGAGCUGAUUAUUGUUGAUUGAAAUGAGAUUUUGAAAUUAUUGCAUUGAUUUUAAAUUUUGAAUGUUUAGAUUAUGGAUUUGUCGAGGAUUUUUUGACAAUUGGUUUGUUGAUUUUGGAUGAUUUGGGGUUUGUUGAUUUUGGUUUUGUCAAGGGAGAUGAUA